UGCAUAGAUCUGAGCAGAGGAAAUGG
This 26-nucleotide unclassified non-coding RNA is filed under the name Mus musculus (house mouse). RNAcentral describes it as "oocyte_clustered_small_RNA13163". Lineage: Eukaryota; Metazoa; Chordata; Mammalia; Rodentia; Muridae. The record is from RNAcentral.